UACGGAGGAUGCGAGCGUUGUCCGGAUUUACUGGGCGUAAAGGGAGCGUAGGCGGACUUUUAAGUGAGAUGUGAAAUACUCGGGCUCAACUUGAGUGCUGCAUUUCAAACUGGAAGUCUAGAGUGCAGGAGAGGAGAAUGGAAUUCCUAGUGUAGCGGUGAAAUGCGUAGAGAUUAGGAAGAACACCAGUGGCGAAGGCGAUUCUCUGGACUGUAACUGACGCUGAGGCUCGAAAGCGUGGGGAGCAAACGGG
This 253-nucleotide ribosomal RNA is filed under the name uncultured bacterium. RNAcentral's name for it is "partial 16S ribosomal RNA". It matches the Rfam family "Bacterial small subunit ribosomal RNA", at positions 524 to 776 of the family's 1533-position model. The record is from RNAcentral.